RNAcentral lists this ribosomal RNA (483 nucleotides) under uncultured bacterium. Its description in RNAcentral is "SSU rRNA". It matches the Rfam family "Bacterial small subunit ribosomal RNA", at positions 26 to 521 of the family's 1533-position model. The record is from RNAcentral.
AGGAUGAACGCUAGCGGCAGGCUUAAUACAUGCAAGUCGAAUGGGUAGUAAUAUCCAUGGCGCACGGGUGCGUAACGCGUAUGCAACCUACCUACUACAGGGGGAUAACCCGGAGAAAUUCGGGAUAAUACCCCAUAACACAUUUGGGUCUCAUGACUUGAUUGUUAAAGAUUUAUCGGUAGUAGAUGGGCAUGCGUCCGAUUAGCUAGUUGGUAGGGUAACGGCCUACCAAGGCUAUGAUCGGUAGGGGUUCUGAGAGGAAGAUCCCCCACACUGGUACUGAGAUACGGACCAGACUCCUACGGGAGGCAGCAGUAGGGAAUAUUGGACAAUGGGCGCAAGCCUGAUCCAGCCAUGCCGCGUGCAGGAAGAAGGCGUUAUGCGUUGUAAACUGCUUUUUGAUCGGGAAUAAAAGGCUAUGCGUAGCAAAUUGAAUGUACCGAUAGAAUAAGCCACGGCUAACUACGUGCCAGCAGCCGCGGU